CAGAGUUCGUGCCCUCACGGGUAGAUCUCCCACCCUGUGUUAUUAUACCUUUGUUGCUUUGGCGGGCCGCCCUCGGCUACCGGCCCCGGCUGGUACGCGCCCGCCAGAGGACCCCAAACUCUCUAUCACUGUCGUCCGAGUACUGUAAAUAGUUA
RNAcentral lists this unclassified non-coding RNA (155 nucleotides) under uncultured Leotiomycetes. RNAcentral describes it as "sequence contains ITS1". The record is from RNAcentral. Lineage: Eukaryota; Fungi; Ascomycota; Leotiomycetes.